GAUGAACGCUGGCGGCGUGCUUAACACAUGCAAGUCGAGCGAAGCGCUUAAGUUUGAUUCUUCGGAUGAAGACUUUUGUGACUGAGCGGCGGACGGGUGAGUAACGCGUGGGUAACCUGCCUCAUACAGGGGGAUAACAGUUAGAAAUGACUGCUAAUACCGCAUAAGACCACAGGGUCGCAUGACCCGGUGGUAAAAACUCCGGUGGUAUGAGAUGGACCCGCGUCUGAUUAGCUAGUUGGUAAGGUAACGGCUUACCAAGGCAACGAUCAGUAGCCGACCUGAGAGGGUGACCGGCCACAUUGGGGACUGAGACACGGCCCAA
RNAcentral lists this ribosomal RNA (325 nucleotides) under uncultured bacterium. RNAcentral describes it as "bacterial SSU rRNA". It matches the Rfam family "Bacterial small subunit ribosomal RNA", at positions 28 to 334 of the family's 1533-position model. The record is from RNAcentral.